AAUAUUGCGCAAUGGAGGGAACUCUGACGCAGCGACGCCGCGUGAGCGAUGAAGGUUUUCGGAUCGUAAAGCUCUGUCCUUGGGGAAGGAGGCGGCCCUUUAUGGUUACUUGACUGUACCCUAGGACGCAGCCCCGGCUAACCUCGUGCCACGAGCCGCGGUAAUGCGUAGGGGGCAAGCGUUGCCCGGAAUUAUUGGGCGUAAAGGGUGCGUAGGGGGCCUUUUAAGUCAGAUGGGAAAGACCACGGCUUAACCGUGGGGUUGCAUUUGAAACUGGAGGGCUUGAGUAUCGGAGAGGGUAGUGGAAUUCCCAGUGUAGCGGUGGAAUGCGUAGAUAUUGGGAGGAAAACCAGUGGCGAAGGCGACUACCUGGACGAAAACUGACGCUGAGGCACGAAAGCUAGGGGAGCAAGCA
RNAcentral lists this ribosomal RNA (415 nucleotides) under uncultured bacterium. Its description in RNAcentral is "partial 16S ribosomal RNA". It matches the Rfam family "Bacterial small subunit ribosomal RNA", at positions 360 to 774 of the family's 1533-position model. The record is from RNAcentral.